This 497-nucleotide ribosomal RNA is filed under the name uncultured bacterium. RNAcentral describes it as "partial 16S ribosomal RNA". It matches the Rfam family "Bacterial small subunit ribosomal RNA", at positions 28 to 507 of the family's 1533-position model. The record is from RNAcentral.
GAUGAACGCUGGCGGCGUGCCUAAUACAUGCAAGUCGAGCGAACAGACGAGGAGCUUGCUCCUCUGACGUUAGCGGCGGACGGGUGAGUAACACGUGGAUAACCUACCUAUAAGACUGGGAUAACUUCGGGAAACCGGAGCUAAUACCGGAUAAUAUAUUGAACCGCAUGGUUCAAUAGUGAAAGACGGUUUUGCUGUCGCUUAUAGAUGGAUCUGCGCCGCAUUAGCUAGUUGGUAAGGUAACGGCUUACCAAGGCGACGAUGCAUAGCCGACCUGAGAGGGUGAUCGGCCACACUGGAACUGAGACACGGUCCAGACUCCUACGGGAGGCAGCAGUAGGGAAUCUUCCGCAAUGGGCGAAAGCCUGACGGAGCAACGCCGCGUGAGUGAUGAAGGUCUUCGGAUCGUAAAACUCUGUUAUUAGGGAAGAACAAAUGUGUAAGUAACUAUGCACGUCUUGACGGUACCUAAUCAGAAAGCCACGGCUAACUACGUG